Molecule: ribosomal RNA, 430 nt
Filed under: Bacteroidota bacterium
Lineage: Bacteria; Pseudomonadati; Bacteroidota
Description: Bacteroidetes bacterium partial 16S ribosomal RNA
Rfam family: Bacterial small subunit ribosomal RNA
Source: RNAcentral
UAGGGAAUCUUCGGCAAUGGGGGGAACCCUGACCGAGCAACGCCGCGUGAGUGAAGAAGGUUUUCGGAUCGUAAAGCUCUGUUGUUAAGGAAGAACGAGUGUGAGAAUGGAAAGUUCAUGCUGUGACGGUACUUAACCAGAAAGGGACGGCUAACUACGUGCCAGCAGCCGCGGUAAUACGUAGGUGGCAAGCGUUGUCCGGAUUUAUUGGGCGUAAAGCGAGCGCAGGCGGUCAAUUAAGUCUGAUGUGAAAGCCCCCGGCUCAACCGGGGAGGGUCAUUGGAAACUGGUUGACUUGAGUGCAGAAGAGGAGAGUGGAAUUCCAUGUGUAGCGGUGAAAUGCGUAGAUAUAUGGAGGAACACCAGUGGCGAAGGCGACUCUCUUGUCUGUAACUGACGCUGAGGCUCGAAAGCGUGGGUAGCAAACAGG